GACGAACGCUGGCGGCGUGCUUAACACAUGCAAGUCGAACGGAAAGGCCCUGCUUUUGUUGGGUGCUCGAGUGGCGAACGGGUGAGUAACACGUGAGUAACCUGCCCUUGACUUUGGGAUAACUUCAGGAAACUGGGGCUAAUACCGGAUAGGAGCUCCUGCUGCAUGGUGUGGGUUGGAAAGUUUCGGCGGUUGGGUAUGGACUCGCGGCUUAUCAGCUUGUUGGUGGGGUAGUGGCUUACCAAGGCUUUGACGGGUAGCCGGUCUGAGAGGGUGACCGGCCACAUUGGGACUGGGAUACGGCCCAGACUCCUACGGGAGGAAGAAGUGGGGAAUAUUGCACAAUGGGCGGAAGCCUGAUGAAGCAACGCCGCGUGCGGGAUGACGGCCUUCGGGUUGUAAACCGCUUUCGCCUGUGACGAAGCGUGAGUGACGGUAAUGGGUAAAGAAGCACCGGCUAACUACGUG
RNAcentral lists this ribosomal RNA (468 nucleotides) under uncultured bacterium. Its description in RNAcentral is "partial 16S ribosomal RNA". It matches the Rfam family "Bacterial small subunit ribosomal RNA", at positions 28 to 507 of the family's 1533-position model. The record is from RNAcentral.